RNAcentral lists this long non-coding RNA (339 nucleotides) under Manihot esculenta (cassava). Its description in RNAcentral is "long non-coding RNA (MESC_LNC010422)". The record is from RNAcentral. Lineage: Eukaryota; Viridiplantae; Streptophyta; Magnoliopsida; Malpighiales; Euphorbiaceae.
AAGCUUGAUACCGAGAUCAAAAAGUCAGGGUCAGAUCUAGGGUUUUCAGUUUUCUUAAUUUCUCUAGAAAUGGCGCUCGAGUGGGUCGUGCUAGGCUACGCUGCAGGUGCAGAGGCGAUCAUGGUCCUCCUCCUCACCCUCCCCGGCCUCGACGGUCUCCGCCGGGGGCUCGUUGCUGUUACUCGCAAUCUCCUCAAACCAUUUUUAUCGGUGGUGCCGUUCUGUCUUUUUCUUCUUAUGGAUAUUUACUGGAAGUACGAGACGCGUCCGAGCUGUGAAGACGAUUCCUGCACACCUUCCGAGCACCUCCGUCACCAGAAAUCUAUCAUGAAGAGCCAG